GACGAACGCUGGCGGCGUGCUUAAUACAUGCAAGUCGAGCGAUCAGACCACUUCCUUGCUACACUGACGUUGGCCGCGGAAGUAACACUUACAUGUCCUGCACUCACCUCUCAGAUAAGCCUAGCUACCUGAGUCUAAUGCCACAAAUGACCUAUCCUCUCAACGGGUUUGUUGAAUAGUUUUUUCCGCUUUUGCUGUCCCUUAUAGCUAGAACCGUGCUGCUUUAGUUAGUUGGUAAGGUAACGGCUUACCAAGGCAACGAUGCGUAGCCGACCUGAGAGGGUGAUCGGCCACACUGGAACUGAGACACGGUCCAGACUCCUACGGGAGGCAGCAGUAGGGAAUCUUCCGCAAUGGGCGAAAGCCUGACGGAGCAACGCCGCGUGAGUGAUGAAGGUCUUCGGAUCGUAAAACUCUGUUAUUAGGGAAGAACAAAUGUGUAAGUAACUAUGCACGUCUUGACGGUACCUAAUCAGAAAGCCACGGCUAACUACGUG
This 497-nucleotide ribosomal RNA is filed under the name uncultured bacterium. RNAcentral's name for it is "partial 16S ribosomal RNA". It matches the Rfam family "Bacterial small subunit ribosomal RNA", at positions 28 to 507 of the family's 1533-position model. The record is from RNAcentral.